GACGAACGCUGGCGGCGUGGAUUAGGCAUGCAAGUCGAACGGUAUCAUCCUUUCGGGGGUGAGAGAGUGGCGAACUGGUGAGUAACACGUAGGUUAUCUACCCUCAAGACGGGGACAACCCAGGGAAACUUGGGCUAAUACCGGAUGUGAGCAACUUUUAGUUGUUUGAAAGGUGGCGUAAGCUGUCGCUUGGGGAUGAGCCUGCGUCCUAUUAGUUAGUUGGUGAGGUAACGGCUCACCUAGGCAAUGAUAGGUAGGCGGCCUUAACGGGUGGUCGCCCACACUGGGAUUGAGAUACGGCCCAGACUCCUACGGGAGGCAGCAGUCGAGAAUAGUCUACAAUGGUCGGAAGACUGAUAGUGCGACGCCGCGUGAACGAUGAAUCCCUUCGGGGUGUAAAGUUCUUUUAUAUGUGAGCAGUGCUUCUUAUAUUAACAGUAUGGGGAGAGAGAUAUUAGCAUAUGAAUAAGCAACGGCUAACUCCGUGCCAGCAGCCGCGGUAAUCU
RNAcentral lists this ribosomal RNA (506 nucleotides) under uncultured bacterium. RNAcentral describes it as "bacterial SSU rRNA". It matches the Rfam family "Bacterial small subunit ribosomal RNA", at positions 28 to 526 of the family's 1533-position model. The record is from RNAcentral.